UACGUAGGAUGCAAGCGUUGUCCGGAAUUAUUGGGCGUAAAGAGCGCGCAGGCGGUAACUCAAGUCAGAUGUGAAAUAUCCGGGCUUAACCCGGAGGGGUCAUUUGAAACUGAGUAACUAGAGUACAGCAGAGGAUAGCGGAAUUCCCGGUGUAGUGGUGAAAUGCGUAGAUAUCGGGAGGAACACCAGUGGCGAAGGCGGCUAUCUGGGCUGAAACUGACGCUGAGGCGCGAAGGCUAGGGGAGCAAACAGG
RNAcentral lists this ribosomal RNA (253 nucleotides) under uncultured bacterium. RNAcentral describes it as "partial 16S ribosomal RNA". It matches the Rfam family "Bacterial small subunit ribosomal RNA", at positions 524 to 776 of the family's 1533-position model. The record is from RNAcentral. RNAcentral also lists the same sequence under 1 other name.